This 69-nucleotide transfer RNA is filed under the name Tropidomya abbreviata. RNAcentral's name for it is "tRNA-His". It matches the Rfam family "tRNA". Rfam says of the family: Transfer RNA (tRNA) molecules are approximately 80 nucleotides in length. Their secondary structure includes four short double-helical elements and three loops (D, anti-codon, and T loops). Further hydrogen bonds mediate the characteristic L-shaped molecular structure. tRNAs have two regions of fundamental functional importance: the anti-codon, which is responsible for specific mRNA codon recognition, and the 3' end, to which the tRNAs corresponding amino acid is attached (by aminoacyl-tRNA synthetases). tRNAs cope with the degeneracy of the genetic code in two manners: having more than one tRNA (with a specific anti-codon) for a particular amino acid; and 'wobble' base-pairing, i.e. permitting non-standard base-pairing at the 3rd anti-codon position. The record is from RNAcentral. Lineage: Eukaryota; Metazoa; Mollusca; Bivalvia; Poromyidae.
GUUAUGUUAGUUUAAUAGAAAAAUGGUAGCUUGUGGUGCUGCGGAUAGUGUUGGAAUCACUACUUGGCC